Molecule: non-coding RNA, 6595 nt
Organism: Chelonoidis abingdonii (Abingdon island giant tortoise)
Lineage: Eukaryota; Metazoa; Chordata; Testudines; Testudinidae
Source: RefSeq, a predicted model, not a curated record
UUGAACAUUUUGGCUGGGAUCAGUGAGUGCUGCUGAGGUGGCUGGUGUGUGCAGCUACUCCAGCCUCGCAGGCUCUGCAGCACGACCAGCCCGCACAUUCGGCACUAUCUGCCUCUCCGUUUUACACACCACGGCGGAUGAGAAUGGUUAGUUAACACAGUGGCAGACUUCAUGCUUGGGGCUCUGUUUUGCCAGCCCCUGACAACACUCCCUUUCCAAAGUAGCCCCUGGGGCUGAGAAAGAUGUGGCCGGGCAAGGUAAUUUUUCCAGACCCCAGCUUUGCAAUCAGUGAUGACAUCUCUGAAUUUCCAGCUUAAAAAGGACAAAAAAUAAAAUCUCUUCCAGAAAAGGUGAAUGUGAGAACAAAUAUUAAAGAAGAGGGGAAAAAAGCCCUUCAUUAGAAUGAGAGAUUUUUUCCUGUAACUGAUUUUGUUAGAAACUGUGAUGUUAGAAAAACCAAGUCUGCCUCUCAGCAAAAAAUCUGCCUUUGAUUUUAUUCUCUUUGGGGAAUACUUCAGGGGAAAGAAAACACUGUGAAGCAAAUUCAUAAGAUGUAAACUAUGCUCAUUGUAGCACUUAUUUUUCCUUUAAGCCUGAGGAGGAGCCCUGCCACCAGAAUAUUACAGGAAAAUUGAUUUGAUUUUCUUUGAUUAUCCAUUCAAGAAAACAAAGAUUCAAAAACUGGCAGUGAGAUCAGCAGCUUUUUCUUCUGACAGAGAAGGUGACAGUGAACACCAGUUUCUGACUUAUACACCGUUUGGAUAUAGAUGACGUGCAUUGUUAACUUUCUGACACAUCCUCUUACUUAUAAGCUACAUGGCUUCAUAAACAAACAAUACUUCUGAGCCCCAUCUAUGCCUCGAGAAGCUGAGAAAAAAAAUCCUUAUGGACGUCGGCUACGUGGAAAUCCUAGUUCAUGUUUGUUCAGAAAUUUUGAGUGAGUGAGGGCAACUACUGAAUCCCAAUGAGGCCCAAGUUCAAUGAAACUCCUGUACCUGCACUUUUGGCUUUGACGGAAUAUGAAAACUUUGCUAAGCUGAAUGCAACAGGAGACGCUGAAACUAAACAGCUAGAAGGGUCCCUCUCAUCAACAGUUGCACUAAUAAUAGUGCUGAUCAUUAUUUUCUCUUUGAUAAUGACAUCCUUAGUGACCUACUGUUUCCACAAGUGGCAACUGAGAGGUAAAAAACUGCAGAAAGCGCAAGAGGAAUAUCAGCGAGACCAUGAAAAGAGCAUGUUCCAAAGCAUGUCAGGACUUGUUUCAUAAAAGAAAUCAAUCCAACACGAAAUAUUCCUGCAUUACCUGAAAGUGAAAAAUAACUAACUAUUGGAAGCUACAUAUUGAAAUAACCACCUAAAUAUAUCCUGGUUUUACCUAAUUUGUAAGAAUUUUUAAUGGUUUGGAAAUUUCCAAUAGCUUCCUUAUAAAUCAAAAAUAUUCAGUUGUCUCAUUUGUGCAAAGUACAAUAAAUGCAACCAUGUAUUUUAAUCUGCAUUUUAUUUACUAAAAAACAGUAGGUCAAGCCCUGCUGUCCUUACUCUUAUCAAAAUUCCCAUGGAAGUCAAAGGGCCAAAGUCUCAGCUCGUUCCAAUCAGCAUAGCUGAUGGGAGUUGAUAGAGCUAUGAUGAUUUGCAUUAGCAGAUGAUCUGGCUCAAAUGAGAGCUUUAUCUGAGUAAGGUCCACAGGAUUUUACCCAAUUAUCACCCAAUCCUGAAAGCCUUCUGGGCAGAACUCCCAAAGACUUCAAGAAGAGUUCCAUGCACAGAGAGCUUGCAAGAUUGAGCCCUAUGUUUGCUAGCAGACUGUAUGUUGAUAAUAAUUCCAUUUAUUUCGUUUAGGGUCCAUGGGAAUUGAGGGCACUCAGCACCUCACAUGAUGGCCCCAGACUUAUUAAGGAGCAUGCAAGCUGAACACACUUUUUUAAAGCUUGCAAUUAUUUUUAACCAGGCUUACAAUGGUGUGUUUCUAUUUUUGUAGCCUGUAAUGUUAUGUCAUGAAAAAGAUGCUGACUCUAUUGCGGGUAACAUAUGUAAGUAAUAUUUUCUAACAAAGUGUUGGAUGUAACAUCAGUAUAAGUAGCUGUUUUAAAAUGUAGAAAAUAUGUAAAAAAUGCAAACAAAAACCCUGCUCAAGUAUAUAGCUUGCUUGCAAUUACCAUUAGCUGGUGCUGUAUGUAUUUUUAAACAAGCUAUAAUACUGUGAUAUUGCUGUACACUUGCUUCUGUAGGCAAAAAAGUUCAAUUUAAAAACUGUCAAGAAGAUUAAAGAUGUAAAUGUUCUUACCAGUGCUAACAACAAAAAUACGGAUUUUCAUAGGAUAUUCUAAAGGCAGACUCUGUUACAUGCUAUGGAUCUAUUUCACAAUGUAUUUAUGGAUCAUACACACUAUUUGUCGUGAGAACAAACAGUACAAUUUUAUUAAUAAAUAAAUAAAUAAAAAAUAAAUAAGCAAGCAAGCAAGCAGUGAAUGCCCAUGGCCAGAAGGUGGAUAAUGCUUUCAUAGGGCCCCCUGAUCUAUUUUAUUAGCAACUUGGAAGGCAUGUUCUGAAAAGAACAAGGUACCCACUACCUCAUUUGGGGAAAAGGCAAAGUGGCAUUCCCCCCACCAUCUUUCACAACUCAUCAAUCCCAUUUUCAUGUCUGUGUAGGUAAAGACCUAUAGUAUAUCAACUACAUGAGAGAAAGGGACAGUAGACUGGGGAGGACAAAAAUGCAAACCUAAUCCAUACACUAUUGAUCUAUACAUUUGUGAAAAUAAAAAAACUCUGAAACAUUAAUUUUUAACAAAGUGCCACUUACUAUAACAUCUAUACUGUACGCAGCAGCAAUUUCCGCAUAUUUGUGUGUUCAGCUACAUUUUUAUUCAGUGGAGACAAUAAAAGGUAAUUUCUUUGUUAUACCAGAUAAUAUUUAAGUUGUAACUUGAAGACACGGGGCACAUCAUUAUUUUUAAAAAUAUACAUAGAACAACUUUCAAACUCAAUACCAGGGUAUAUAUUCUGGAUUAACUGCACUGAAAGCAGUAGAGUUAGUCCAGAUUUGCAGUGGCGUAGAAGCUGGGCACUGUGUCAAUACGAUGAUUCAUCCCCACAGGAGGGCACUGUUCUUUAAAGCAGUAAACCUUUCACUUCAUUGCCACCAGUUCAACGCUCCUGACAAAUUUUCUAUCUGAAUGAAUGGGAUUGGCUGGCUUCAUUGGCUCUGAUGACACUGGCUACAGUGACAGGUAUCUCAAGGAAGGAAAGGUGAAUUUGUAUAAUCUUGGCACCUAUGAAGCUAUGUAGGUUGUUGAUCAGGGAUGAGUUUCUGACCGGCAGGGGGCACUAGAGAGCUUCUGGCACUUCUAAACUUCUCUCACAGUCAGUGUGGCCUGCACACAAUGAAGAAAUUUAAAACUGCUAUAAGGCUUACUGGUAAAGAAACUAGCCAAGCAGCAGAUAGUACAAGGGAUCAGAAAUGAGAUAUAUAGUUUUUCACCUCUGCCCUUGUUUAAUCCAGUCCAGGUCAGUAGCAAUCAAACAUCAUUACCAUCUUAAGGCAUUGCAGUGGCCUAUGGGGAAUGAAAUGGACAUUUUGGCCUAUUUCCUAGUGGCAAGCAUCCAUAUCAUAGAGUCCACUCCUAUAACUGGUGCUCAGAAAAGAAGCUAAGGAAUGAAUGGGCCUGGAGUUAAUUCAUCUCCUCAGAGCUGACCUCUUCAGGGAGAAGUGGGACAAUUCAGGGGAAGAAUGCACUGCCAUAGCAGCUAAUGUUGUAUCAGCCUGGUGCUAGUUUCAAGAUAAUAAUCUUUCAGGUUGUCAAUUCAGCAACAUUCAUGGUCACGUUACCAACAAAGUGCAGCCUAAUAAAAACCAUUACUAAUGAAUAUGUAAAAUAAAUCAGUGUAUGUAACAAAAACAAAUCACUUCUGCAUUUGCAAGAUGUUCAUAGCAAUAAACUCUAGUGCUUCACAAAUCAUUCAGAGGAUUAAAAAAGGGUAAGAGUGUGCAGUAUGAAAACCAAAAAAGAAAAACUCUAAAUGACACUUAACAAUGGAUGGACUAAUUUGUUUCAGUGCCACAUCUGCUUAUUGUAUGACUCACCCUUCAUCAGUCUCACUCCUUUUAUACCCCAAUGAGCACAGACAAGGAAACCAGGUGAAUAAAUUUUUCUUGAUCACAGUUUUAAAGAUGUUUCUCCAGAUCAAAACAAAAAUCACUCAAAAAAAAAAAAUGGCUCCUGGGGAGUGUAAAAGGAAGAGCACUGAUCUAGACGCCUUUGUGUGGUCUCCAUGUCAAAAUUCUUUGGUUACUAGUCUCAGUCCCUGCAGGAGUAUGAAAUAAGUAAUUUACAGGGCAACCUCUCUCAUUUGCUUCGUACUGUACAUCAGCAAUAGCUGCAACCAGGUAACAGAAAAUAAGUGUUCAGAUCCCAGAGUUACUGUUGAUAAAAUAGGAAAGAGAAGAAUUCCAAAACUGUUCUCAGCCUGCAGUACUGAGCAGCAGAAAAAGAUACACACCACAGAUCAUACGGGUGCUGAAUUUUUAAAUGAAUUUUCUGAACUGCCUCUCUAAAUUGGGUGUGAAUGGUGCACUGCGGGAAAAUAAAAUCGGUAAGUGUCUGAUCCAAAGAACUUAUAAUUCAGUGUAUUUACACAAACAGUUGAGAACUAAGAGUUAAAAAGAAAUACUUCAAGAUUUCCAGUGACAAUCUGGACACCAAAAGCAGAGUUCAGAUGCACUGCUGUGUCCUGUCACUAUGGAUUUAGAACCCUGUAUCUAAUAUUGCCUGUUUUUAGUAAUGAAACAAAGCUACACUGGUGUAUUAUUUUGCACUGUGUUAUGCAAGGGUAAAUUUUCAAAGGGCCUUAGGCAUGGCCUCCCUUUCUGUGUGUGCACUUUGCUACCACUGCUCCACAACAGAACCCUUAUGAGACCUUAUCUUGAGUAAUGGGGGAACUUUUGCUAAUGGAGUUCAAAAAAGGUCAACAAGGAAUUAGGCAGAGUUUGGGAAGGGAGGGGGAGUGGAGUCACAAGACAAAUAUGGGGCAGAGAUGGAAUGUCUAAUGUGAACAGGGUUAUAAAAGUGGAAGAAAGGAGAUUUAUGGGGGAUUUUAAUAUACCUAAGCCUCGUGCACUAACAAAAAAAUCCAGUGGCAUCUUGCUCACCAUAUAAGAUAGCUAUAAAAGUUGCAGUCGUGAUCUAAAACUGAAAGUGAUGCUAAUGGGAGUUCUUAGGAUGGGCUACUAUGCCCAGACGGUUGUUAAAAGGUGGAAUAAGCUGCCAGUGAAAGAAUGAGAACAGCUAGUAUUAAAGAAUUUAAGACUGCUCUAGAGAUUCACUGAAGGUCUAACCUACUCAGGCAAAACUAAUGAAAUCGUUCAUGGAGGUUAUUUAUACCACAAGAUCAAGGAUAAUCUAAGUGAACCUCUAAUUCCCAGCAUCCUAAUUUAUUUUCAUGCUUUAUAUUGAUUUGUGCAUCAUGAAACCAUGUGGCUAAACACACAACCCUGGGUACACUGAUCUGAUAGCUACAAUACAUAGUAUAUGUAACAACUACAUACCUGUAAUUUGUUUAAACAGAACAUCAAAUCAACCCCUUCAACAGAUUUUCUUUUACCAAAAGGGAAAAAAAACGCAACACCAAAGUAUCAUUCUAGUGUCUUAACAUGCCACUGAACUAUUAGUCAGUGAUCUCCUUCAUAUACAUAUUUGAUAGACAAAUGUCUUCCCAGAUCCUAAAUUGCUGUGGAAGGCCCAAACGUGCUGAAAACAUGGAGGAUGCAGAGGCCAGUGGGCCUGCAACUCAUGUGGAUCCAUUGGCUACAUAUCCCUGGUGAGGGAUGAUGGAAUAUGCUACGGCUGUCAGUAGAAGCCACGAUGGUGACCACAGUAGUGGUCAUAGUUCUGCUGCCCACAUGCCUUGCUUGGAGUGAGCAGAAGGAUUUCACUGCUUCCAGCCCCCAGAGUUCUCCUGUGCAAAGCCCCUUUACUUGGACUUCCUAUUAGUACCAGACUUUCACCCAGAGAUAAUCUCAAUGAGAUAGUGACAUUCCUUUUCAGGAAUCGAUAGAAAGUGACAGCAUAUGCAUCAGCAAGUUCAGAAAACAGUCAAAAUAUUAUCUUAAUUGACAUUUUAUUCCACUUUUAUUCUGUAUUUUGUUUUCUUUCAUUUCUAAACAUCCACCCCAGACAGGUUUUAUGAUUAAUUUAAAGCCAUUUCUUGUCCUAUUGGCAUUCUCAGGGUUACUGAUUUAUUUCAGUUCAUAUUCUCAUUAUUUCAGUUCUAUAAAUGCCUAGUUUCAUUUUAUUCCUUUUACAGUUACUCUGCAACCUUCUCUCUCUCUCCUCCACCUGGGGCUCUAGCUUUCAAUUUAGCAGGAGGCAGAAGGUAAAGAUUGAGCUGAAGCCCAAUAAUUACACCUUCCCACCCAGAAAAACAGAACCAUCUAUUUUUUGUACAGAUUGAAGAAGCAGUGAGCUGCUCUGAAAUCCCAUAAGCAAACCCACAAAAACAAUAGUUAUUGCUUAUCAGAAUAAUAAUAACAAAAAUGUCAGCUUCCAUAAUUUGAAAAAUGUAUUUGGUUGGAUUACACUGUAUUGCAGCUUUUGCAUUC